This is a non-coding RNA of Pristionchus pacificus, 61 nucleotides long. The record is from Rfam. Lineage: Eukaryota; Metazoa; Nematoda; Chromadorea; Rhabditida; Neodiplogasteridae.
UCUUCAUUCUCCACACUAUCUCAUCGGCCAGAGAGGCGAGAGAGUGUGCAAAAUGAAGAGA